AAGAAGAGAUUCCCUGCCGCGAAUACCCAAUCACUGGGGGAAACCGACAUCGUACCACCAUCUUCAUAUCCUAUCGGAUUUCUAAACUCAUGACAGCCGACGGACAUCCCCUGCAUCUACAUGGACGGCAGGUUCAUAUCCUAAAGGAUCUUCUGGGUGAUGGAACAUUCACAGUUGACCAGGUCAAAUUCAAGAACAGAGAAAAGUCUCAAGGUGUGAAUUUUCAGGGAAAGUAUCUUGAGUAAAGUGCAGUAAAACUCGCGCAUAUAAUUACUGAAUCAGCUAAUAACAGACAAAGUGUCGAUGACAUAAGUGAUUUAUUCAUGAAAAUCAGUUGGAUUCAAUAUUCAAGUGAAGGUCUUAAGAAAUUGUCAAAUAUCGGACCAGAGGCUAAGUUAAAGGAAAGGUUCAAAGUGCUUGAUGAUGGACAAGAUCAUUUCUGUUGAAGAAAGAAGAUAUUCUGCAAAUCAACAACACACAUCCAAAAUACUUCAUAAUUGGUGGAAAGGAGGCUGGCUACAUCUAUUGCCAUAAUUUGCUUCAUUUACAUGCUCUGCAAACAUCCUGAGAUUCAAGAUAAGGUUCAAUAAGAAAUCGAAGAAGCAACAAACAUGAGAAACAAAUUAAGUCACAGGUGUUAAAGAUUUUGAAAACAGUGCGAGUGAAGAAAGCCUAGAAAUGAUAAGUAGCUUCAUGUAACUUGGAACAAAACUCUCGCGACUCUAUCCUGCAUCUCAGUGUGAUAGGGAUGCGGAGCUAAUCCAUGAUCUAGCAGACUGCAGACUCGUAUUUGGUGCAACUAGACAAUUUGAAGUUAUACGAGGAUAAGUAAUUGACAAAUGUCUCAACAAGCCACACGCGUGGACAAAUGCUAUAGGCUGUCAAUUUCAAGGCAUCUUGGUGGUGGGAUAAGACUUUGGGACCAAUAGGUCUUGGGUUCGAUUCCCACAAAGGGGGUUUUCCCAUAUUUAUUGGGUUUCCUCCUGAAUUGGUGUAUAGGCAUUAUGCCUAGUGGAGAUGGAUAUGAUCGGGUGGUUCCGCUGGUGGCACGAUGAUACUCCAGUGGUCCGUCAGUGAUCCAAAUUUGCCGUUCAAAAAAAAAAAAUUCAAGGAACUUAUAAUUGAUGAAGAAUUAAUGGAGAUUACCUCUGAUGGUAAGUUACCACUAAUGAGGAUUAUGGAACUAGCCUAUGAUGUCAAUUGUCAAGUUACCAUCUGGAUGAAGAUCAAGGGAACUUACCACUAAAGAAAGUUACCUCUAGUGAAGAUUGAUGAAGUCUCGCUAAUGAAGAAGAGAUGCCACGUGUUAACCUAUCAUUUGACGAAGACAAUCUGUUGAGAGGAUGUUAUACAUAAUUCUCACUUGUCAAUUUCGUACGUCUCGACAAGAAUAUAGAUACACGAGUUUGCAUUGAUAUUAUUAUCACUUGGCCCCAUAGUUUAAUGCGUCAAGCAGUUGAGUGUGAAGUCGGUGCAUGAACUUAUGUGUGCAAAUUCAGAGAAAAUUUGCAUGUCACCCUCUUCAUAGCUAGAGCAUUAGCUAGAAAACCAUAUGUAAAUUCAAUUUUAAUUUAUAACUAGUUUUACAUGAUGUAUUCAAACAAUCAAUUUUGAUUAAUACCUUGUGCUUAUAGCAAUUGUUCUUC
Helianthus annuus (common sunflower) is the source of this 1646-nucleotide long non-coding RNA. RefSeq lists it as uncharacterized. The record is from RefSeq and is a predicted model, not a curated record. The transcript has 6 exons. NCBI's taxonomy places the organism in Eukaryota, Viridiplantae, Streptophyta, Magnoliopsida, Asterales, Asteraceae.